AUUUGACCUCNGAUCAGGUAGGGAUACCCGCUGAACUUAAGCAUAUCA
Molecule: ribosomal RNA, 48 nt
Filed under: Preussia sp. AU_CryP07
Lineage: Eukaryota; Fungi; Ascomycota; Dothideomycetes; Pleosporales; Sporormiaceae
Description: partial 28S ribosomal RNA
Source: RNAcentral